Molecule: ribosomal RNA, 397 nt
Filed under: uncultured bacterium
Lineage: Bacteria
Description: bacterial SSU rRNA
Rfam family: Bacterial small subunit ribosomal RNA
Source: RNAcentral
UAUUGCACAAUGGGGGGAACCCUGAUGCAGUGACGCCGCGUGGGCGAUGGAGUGCUUCGGCAUGUAAAGCCCUAUCAGCAGGGAAGAAAAUGACGGUACCUGACUAAGAAGCCCCGGCUAACUACGUGCCAGCAGCCGCGGUAAUACGUAGGGGGCAAGCGUUAUCCGGAUUUACUGGGUGUAAAGGGGGCGCAGACGGCAGCGCAAGCCAGGAGUGAAAGCCCGGGGCCCAACCCCGGGACUGCUCUUGGAACUGCGCGGCUGGAGUGCAGGAGGGGCAGGCGGAAUUCCUGGUGUAGCGGUGAAAUGCGUAGAUAUCAGGAGGAACACCGGUGGCGAAGGCGGCCUGCUGGACUGCGACUGACGUUGAGGCCCGAAAGCGUGGGGAGCAAACAGG